This 19-nucleotide unclassified non-coding RNA is filed under the name Mus musculus (house mouse). RNAcentral describes it as "oocyte_clustered_small_RNA5053". Lineage: Eukaryota; Metazoa; Chordata; Mammalia; Rodentia; Muridae. The record is from RNAcentral.
CAUUUACUUCAGACGGCCU